Molecule: long non-coding RNA, 422 nt
Filed under: Gopherus agassizii (Agassiz's desert tortoise)
Lineage: Eukaryota; Metazoa; Chordata; Testudines; Testudinidae
Description: lncRNA (ENSGAGG00000004552.1)
Source: RNAcentral
AGUCUGAAAUGGGAGAAAACUCUUCUAGCUGAAUCUUUUUUGUGCUAGAAAGCUAUGGACUGCAGAUAUUUUUGCCAUAGAUAUUUAGCAAUACAAGAAACAAACAAUCCAAAAUGAUUGAAUUAGAGAUUUUGCUAUAGAACAAACACUAAUCAGAACAUUCCUAUCACUGAAGAAAUUCACCCUUUAACAAUCAAUGGAAUUAUUGGAGCUACAAAGCACCCAUUGCCAUGGUAUAUAAGUGCCUGACCAAGAAAAACUGCUGAGUAUCUCCAUAAGUCCCUAUCUGAUACUUGAAGCUUAGCUCAAGUCCACUGAACAACCUUUCUAUGAGCCUGGCUCAAGCCUUGUGUUUGAAAUGAAACCUGGAACCGGAAAAUCAAUUUUGGGAGAAAAUGGAGCUGUGAUUGGUAGAAAGACAA